CGUCAGGGGCACGCCCCGCUUCCCGUUUGCCUCACUUCCUGUUUACCGUUGCUAACAGGCAUGGUAGCAGUUGCUGCAUUGUUUGCCCUUUCUUUAAGGCUGUGUUCAUUUCUAGUGGUUAUAGAGGCCGUUUAUUUUUAUAGGGUCACUGUUGGGUGUCCAUAGCCAGAAAGCUGAGCCGCUCGCUGGCUGCUGUACGUCCAGUUCGAGCCGUGAGCCGCUCGCGAGCCGUUACUGGCUGUUACCGUGGCUGCCGGUUGCUCCCCGUUCUCUCGUGGUGGACAAAAUUUACUGAUUGGCGGGCCGCCGUUUGUCUGGAGCUGUGCUGGCUACACGGGGUCCCAAACGUAGGAGAUGCUGCUGUUUUGUCUCCGUGGGUUUGUCUCGCAGACGCGGGUCUGUGUUGCCGACGCUGACAGUUCCCACCUGUUGCCAGCCUUUGUGCGAAGGUAAGCUAACAGUUCCCACCUAUUUCCAGUCUUUGCUAAACUAGGCUAACAGUUCUAACCUGUUUCCAGUCUUUGUGCUAAGCUCAGCUAACCAUUCCCACCUGUUCCAGUCUUUGCUAAACUAGGCUAACAGUUCUAACCUUUUUCCAGUCUUUGUGCUAAGCUAGGCUAGCAGUUCCACCUGUUUCCAGUCUGUGUGGUAAGCUAGGCUAACAGUUCCACCUUUUUCCAGUCUUUGCUAAACUAGGCUAACAGUUCUAACCUGUUUCCAGUCUUUGUGCUAAGCUAAGCUAACCGUUCCCACCUGUUUCCCGUCUGUGUGGUAAGCUAGGCUAACAGUUCCACCUUUUUCCA
Amphiprion ocellaris (clown anemonefish) is the source of this 803-nucleotide long non-coding RNA. The record is from Ensembl. NCBI's taxonomy places the organism in Eukaryota, Metazoa, Chordata, Actinopteri, Pomacentridae.